GACGAACGCUGGCGGCGUGCUUAGCACAUGCAAGUCGAACGGAAAGGCCCUGCUUUUGUGGGGUGCUCGAGUGGCGAACGGGUGAGUAACACGUGAGUAACCUGCCCUUGACUUUGGGAUAACUUCAGGAAACUGGGGCUAAUACCGGAUAGGAGCUCCUGCUGCAUGGUGGGGGUUGGAAAGUUUCGGCGGUUGGGGAUGGACUCGCGGCUUAUCAGCUUGUUGGUUGGGUAGUGGCUUACCAAGGCUUUGACGGGUAGCCGGCCUGAGAGGGUGACCGGCCACAUUGGGACUGAGAUACGGCACAGACUCCUACGGGAGGCAGCAGUGGGGAAUAUUGCACAAUGGGCGGAAGCCUGAUGCAGCAACGCCGCGUGCGGGAUGACGGCCUUCGGGUUGUAAACCGCUUUCGCCUGUGACGAAGCGUGAGUGACGGUAAUGGGUAAAGAAGCACCGGCUAACUACGUG
Molecule: ribosomal RNA, 468 nt
Filed under: uncultured bacterium
Lineage: Bacteria
Description: partial 16S ribosomal RNA
Rfam family: Bacterial small subunit ribosomal RNA
Source: RNAcentral